GCCCGGUGAUGACUAAUUUAUGCUUGUUUGUGAAAAACAUUUGCAGUUGCCGCAUAUUUGCUUUCGCCCUGCCAGGCUUGUGAGAGCUAAUGUUGUUAGAUCCUUACUUGGGAUGUCUGAGGGC
Non-coding RNA from Triticum aestivum (bread wheat), 124 nucleotides. The record is from Rfam. NCBI's taxonomy places the organism in Eukaryota, Viridiplantae, Streptophyta, Magnoliopsida, Poales, Poaceae.